Molecule: microRNA precursor, 242 nt
Filed under: Pelobates cultripes (western spadefoot toad)
Lineage: Eukaryota; Metazoa; Chordata; Amphibia; Anura; Pelobatidae
Source: RNAcentral
GAUGGCAUACCAUUUGAAAAAGUAGACAACCCAAGGUAUUGAAAGUGGGGUAUGUUUAGUCUUUUUUAGUAGCCACUUAGUCACAAACACUGGCCAAAGUUAGCGUUCAUAUUUGUUUUUGUGUGAAAAAGCAAAAAACUAAUAUUUGGCCAGUGUUUGUGACUAAGUGGCUACUAAGAAAGACUGGACAUACCCCACUUGCAAUACCUUGGGUUGUCUACUUUUGCAAAUGGUAUGCCAUC